This 406-nucleotide ribosomal RNA is filed under the name uncultured bacterium. RNAcentral describes it as "partial 16S ribosomal RNA". It matches the Rfam family "Bacterial small subunit ribosomal RNA", at positions 30 to 526 of the family's 1533-position model. The record is from RNAcentral.
AUUGAACGCUGGCGGCAGGCCUAACACAUGCAAGUCGAGCGAGCGGCGGACGGGUGAGUAAUGUCUGGGAAACUGCCUGAUGGAGGGGGAUAACUCCUGGAAACGGUUGCUAAUAUCGCAUACCAUCAGAUGUGCCCAGGUGGGAUGAGCUAGUAGGUGGGGUAACGGCUCACCUAGGAGACGAUCCCUAGAUGGUCUGAGAGGAUGACCAGCGACACUGGAACUGAGACACGGUCCAGACUCCUACGGGAGGCAGCAGUGGGGAAUAUUGAACAAUGGGCGCAAGCCUGAUGCAGCAAUGCCGCGUGUGUGAAGAAGGCCUGCGGAUUGUAAAGCACUUUCAGCGGGGAGGCGUUACCCGCAGAAGAAGCACCGGCUAAGUCCGUGCCAGCAGCCGCGGUAAUUC